ACUGAAAAAUCUUAAUCAUUUUUAUUGUUGUUGUUGCUACCCUUGACGAAAUACCUGAAGGUAGGCAGCGUUUCUCUCAACUUUCCAGUGCAGAUUACCAAGUUGUAGACAAUGAGUCAAUGUUAACAUUUCCAAUAAGAAUACAUGUGGCUGAACUCUCCACAAUUACUAAGCCGUGUGAAGUUGUAACCAAGGUUUGCAUCCAAAAGAUUGAGAUUGCUUACGGCUAGACCUAUGAUGGGUGCUCAUGCGAUCGCAAACCUGUAUAUGAAAAUGACAAACUAAAAUGCAAAAGCUGUACGAGUGAUGUGUUGACUAUUGAGCCCAAAUUUAAGCUCCAUUACACGGUGUUUGAUUCAACGGGCAUAUGUUCAA
This is a long non-coding RNA of Neltuma alba, 375 nucleotides long. RefSeq lists it as uncharacterized. The transcript is spliced from 3 exons. The record is from RefSeq and is a predicted model, not a curated record. NCBI's taxonomy places the organism in Eukaryota, Viridiplantae, Streptophyta, Magnoliopsida, Fabales, Fabaceae.